This 236-nucleotide ribosomal RNA is filed under the name uncultured Staphylococcus sp. Its description in RNAcentral is "partial 16S ribosomal RNA". It matches the Rfam family "Bacterial small subunit ribosomal RNA", at positions 104 to 334 of the family's 1533-position model. The record is from RNAcentral. Lineage: Bacteria; Bacillati; Bacillota; Bacilli; Caryophanales; Staphylococcaceae.
GGGUGAGUAACACGUGGAUAACCUACCUAUAAGACUGGGAUAACUUCGGGAAACCGUAGCUAAUACCGGAUAAUAUUUUGAACCGCAUGGUUCAAAAGUGAAAGACGGUCUUGCUGUCACUUAUAGAUGGAUCCGCGCUGCAUUAGCUAGUUGGUAAGGUAACGGCUUACCAAGGCAACGAUGCAUAGCCGACCUGAGAGGGUGAUCGGCCACACUGGAACUGAGACACGGUCCAG